Molecule: small nucleolar RNA, 81 nt
Filed under: Punica granatum (pomegranate)
Lineage: Eukaryota; Viridiplantae; Streptophyta; Magnoliopsida; Myrtales; Lythraceae
Description: Small nucleolar RNA snoR122
Rfam family: Small nucleolar RNA snoR122
Source: Rfam by way of RNAcentral
UGCCAGUGAUGCAUUCAAAAUUGCACGUAUUAUCAGAUAUGAGGAUGAUGAUAAUGCAACAUUGUCACUACCUCUGAGGCA